Lolium rigidum is the source of this 2982-nucleotide long non-coding RNA. RefSeq lists it as uncharacterized. NCBI's taxonomy places the organism in Eukaryota, Viridiplantae, Streptophyta, Magnoliopsida, Poales, Poaceae. The transcript has 3 exons. The record is from RefSeq and is a predicted model, not a curated record.
UCAGUAGUCGUAGACAACAAGGUAGUGGCCUAUAUGUGCUAAGGUCUGACCACAUGUUCAGUUGUUCACCUAAAUGUUCAAUUACUUGAAACUGGAAUGCCUCAGGUACUUCUAUGUCCGAGCAUUCUAUGUACUUGAUUUAGAUUGGUGGUGUUUUAUUCCAUAGUUUCAUUUGCAGAGCAUAGCUGCUCUUGAAUGAAGAUCCAGGGCUGAUAAAAAUGGUUAGUUGUUGAAUGUGCAAUCUUCUAUUCACUAGCUUAUUCUCAAUGGGGAACGGCUUAUCAGUUAAGUUUAGCUGCUGUUACACAAACUUCCUUUUGCUACCUUCUUUACAUCACUAAGAGCUACUGAACCAAUUGUGACAAAUAACACACCAGGAUCUCUAUAUCUUUGACAUAUUCAUACCACAUAUGUAUUUCUAGAAUACCUGCCUGUUGAGUAACGAGAAACUGACGAAGUGCAAGGCGUAUGGUAUCUUAAGUCAAAUUAAUAUGCGAAUUCCAUUGAAUUUGCUUUUGUCUAAGUAGAUGUGUUAGGCCAGGAAGAAUCUGAGUUAUCUCAUGAAAUUGUCACUAGCCUAGAUAUAAGGAGAAUGGAUUAUUUUUUCCAAACUACAGACACACAACAUGAUUUCUUAUAUAAUCGUUACAAUAUAGACUAAUAAUUUUUAAAUUUAAAGGCAGCACGUGACUUGCCCAAAAAAGUGUCGUAUUUAGUUUAUUAAGUUAUUAAUAACAUACUGAUUCGUUACAAUGGCAGAAGCCCAUGUCGAGGCUGCAUUUGGACAAGUGAACCCUUCAAUUGCAAGAUCCUUUCUCACCCAUAAAAGCUCUUCAUCAAGUAGUGGUGCCUUACGUUUGCCACUCCCAUUUGUUCCAUAUUUACCUUCAUCUGAACGCUUACAGAGUAAUUUAUUAUCUAUUCUGCAAUAACUAUAUGAUGUCUGAAGUUACAACUUCUGCUGCAAUGUUACCCAAUCAGUCUAGCAAACCCGUUGGGUGGGAUUGGGGUGUUGGCUAAGUAUUUACCUGGAAAAUAAGAACACGACAGAGGACAAUUGAGCAUACAUACUGUAUUUAAUAAAGAUAGGACGAUCGCUAGCGGGUUGCAUCAAGCAACGAGGAACUACAGAUUCAAGGACGUCCAACUGCUCAACUAUUCCCCUCGCCAGCUAUGCUGCCAGCGAGGGCCGCAACGAGCAAUUGUUCCUUUUCUAAAGGCCACUUGUUUGCUCUUUUAAAUGAAGACAAUAACCCUCCACAUACCUGAAUCUUUCUAUAGCAGUACCUAUACACUAAUUCCUCCGGUGGUUUCAUCCAUGCGUCUGAAACCAGCUGGCCCUUUCUUCUUCCAGCAGCCAAACGAAAAUUUCAGUUUUUCUUUUAACGUAGGGAAUCCUCAAGGGAAAACAACUGAACACAAUGCAGUACCUAUGAUUGAAUGAGCUCCUGGAUUCUGAGCAGGUCCGUGUAUAAGAAGUUUAAUCGAUAGGUGUGAUGGUCAUUAUUUGUCCGGGUCAAAGCACAACUCGUGUUUCUCUGCAAUCUAAGGGGGUUGUCAUUUUGCUCUCAGAACAUGAGAUCUCAUCAGUGUCUGUGUUACUUCAAAACACAAAGAAAAUUAAACAAUGGGAUUUGCAUAGCUGACCUAGAAAACCUGGGGUUAGGGGUCUUUGUGUAUCUUGCUUUGAGGACUUUGUAGUAUUUGAUGAAAUAAUUGCGGAUGUCAAAUUAUUUGUCCUGAACUGAACACGUGUGUGUACUAAUCUACUUGGUUUUUUUGGGGUUUUAUAUUUAUAUAUACACUGAUGGAUUGCAUCGUGUGUUGUCACUUAGUAAGCUUGAUUUAAUAUGCAUCUUUAAUAUAAUAAUCACAUUUUCCCCAUAUGUUAUUGCAGCCAACAUUCAUUGUUUUGCUAAGCAAUGAGUGAAUUAGCUGUUGUAGCUACAAUACUUCGUUUACUCUUUCAGUAGAAAUAUUCUAUAUAAAGAAACCUAAAGAAACCAUGUGGUACAGGAAUGAUAAAGGUUUUGCAUUUUACAGGGGCUAUGGUUAUACUAUAUGAAAUUUUGUAGGAAAGCUAGGUAUUCCGUUGAGAUUAUUUGCAAUCAGCCAAUGGCGUUAGCUUUGAUUGUAUUUUCCUUCAGCCAUGCGAUUAUUAGCAAUCAUCACGAGGUUGUACUCUAUUUUUGCGUAACUUUUUGUAUAGAUUAUUAGCAACCAUCAUGACUGCCACUCUGAAGUUGAGGCCCUGCUCACUCUUGGCUAUAUGUAGAAAUUGAAGCUGACCUUUCGAGAAAGGCUCCAUUCAGUUCUAUGAUCCAGGCAUUCCGGUACAUGUCAAUAGAGAAUCUGAAGCUAUAACUCUUAUAAAGGCUCAUGUAUGGUGUGUUGCCUCUUUAUCUUGGAUCUUUUGUGGGAUCUGAUGAAUAUAUGGACAGAGAAGAUGGUUUAAGUUCAUUUCCUCAAUAGUCAUGUUUCGCAUUGAUCUUAUCAGAUCUCUAGCACUUCUCCGUCUUAAAAACUUUGGCUUCCAAUCAAACAGCAACUACAUUACAUGGGCAUGCAAAUUUUUUUUUGGUAAGGCCAGCUUUUCCUCAAAUCCAACCAGACUCAUAGUUUGCAAGUUGUCUAGAAACUCUUUGUGCAUGCUAAAUAUAAAUAUUCAGAGGAUGUGCCUUUUUGUCCGACAGUGUGCAUUGCAUGCUAAACACAUAUCACUCCACGACCUACUUCUCGCCUGACAGCCUGGAUCAAGCUUGAGAAGAGCAUCAUUGCCAAGUGAAGACGGGAGUGGCCAAAAUAGAGUUCGUGCAUGGAGUUAGAACAUUGUGUAAACGUAUAUUAUCAAAACUAGCAAGUCUACUAUUAUAGUGUGCGUGUUUACCAUAUUUCUCUAUGCCCUCCCACUAUUGGUGUAUACCAUUUACUUAUUUCUCAAGGUUAACUUUUUAUGCACAUAAUUUCAGUGUAUGAUUAUCA